This 495-nucleotide ribosomal RNA is filed under the name uncultured bacterium. Its description in RNAcentral is "partial 16S ribosomal RNA". It matches the Rfam family "Bacterial small subunit ribosomal RNA", at positions 28 to 505 of the family's 1533-position model. The record is from RNAcentral.
GAUGAACGCUGGCGGCGUGCCUAAUACAUGCAAGUCGAGCGAACAGAUAAGGAGCUUGCUCCUUUGACGUUAGCGGCGGACGGGUGAGUAACACGUGGGUAACCUACCUAUAAGACUGGAAUAACUCCGGGAAACCGGGGCUAAUGCCGGAUAACAUUUAGAACCGCAUGGUUCUAAAGUGAAAGAUGGUUUUGCUAUCACUUAUAGAUGGACCCGCGCCGUAUUAGCUAGUUGGUAAGGUAACGGCUUACCAAGGCAACGAUACGUAGCCGACCUGAGAGGGUGAUCGGCCACACUGGAACUGAGACACGGUCCAGACUCCUACGGGAGGCAGCAGUAGGGAACCUUCCGCAAUGGGCGAAAGCCUGACGGAGCAACGCCGCGUGAGUGAUGAAGGUCUUCGGAUCGUAAAACUCUGUUAUUAGGGAAGAACAAAUGUGUAAGUAACUGUGCACGUCUUGACGGUACCUAAUCAGAAAGCCACGGCUAACUACG